Non-coding RNA from Nylanderia fulva, 442 nucleotides. Lineage: Eukaryota; Metazoa; Arthropoda; Insecta; Hymenoptera; Formicidae. The record is from RefSeq and is a predicted model, not a curated record.
UUAUUUUAUUUAAAUCUAUAAAUUUACUUUUAUUUAUUAUCGGGGCACAUGUCCCCGUCAGAAUUAACGGUACUGCGUCUCGUCCUUGACGUCGCGGUACUCGCACGCGGUGAUGCGCAAGACCAAAACAACCGCGAAUCCUUAUUAUAGGAUAGUGUAAUGUUUGGGUCAGUGAACCUUUCCUUAUUCGGUCGACGAUUGUAAGCACGUAUACAUACACGUAGUGUAGUGCUGUGAGGUUGCGACCAUUGCACAAUCUAUUGGACAUUUGCUAGAAAUUUAUCAAGAUUAUUAUUUCUAUCGAUUCUCGAAUUUUCAACGGAUUUUCAUCAAUUAAUUAAAGAAAUGGAGAGAUCAUGGACUAUAGUAAGGUUUAUAGAUGAAGAUACAGUUGAAGCUGUCCCAUCUACCUGGAUUAUCAAUAAAAAAUGUUAUUGGCCAC